This is a long non-coding RNA of Mastomys coucha (southern multimammate mouse), 526 nucleotides long. RefSeq lists it as uncharacterized. NCBI's taxonomy places the organism in Eukaryota, Metazoa, Chordata, Mammalia, Rodentia, Muridae. The transcript is spliced from 3 exons. The record is from RefSeq and is a predicted model, not a curated record.
GCCGAGGGGCGGGCGUGCCUUGUGGGACUCACCCAGAUUCAUUCUAAGGUUGGGGCAGAGCUUGGGGGACGUCAGCAGUUCGCAGUUUAACUCUGAAAGCGGGUGUGCAAGCAACCUUAAGAGUUGUCCUGGGUUCUGUGAACUAUGGGCACAUUUAAAGAGCUGGAGAGACGGCUGAAGAGGAAGCCACUUCUCUACAUGGUCUGCACUUACAGUAGAUACAUUCAUUAUUGUCCAAGGGAAGACAGCCACUGCCUUUCACUUAAAGAGCUUGGUGGAGAGGCUGAAGGGAUGCGCUGCAGCCGAAGAUGAAGAAACUGAGGCAUGGCAAGGCCAUGAAUUUUUCUUCAGUCUUCUAUGUGGAUCUGCUGCCAUUCCAGGCAAGGAAAGCCCUACAUCUCUUUCUGAAUCCUUGACCAUCUCCCAUGGUGUGCUUAACUCAACAUUUACCAUCUGUCUGCCUUUCUAUCUACAAUAUAUUAUAUGUACUCUUGUGUAUAAAAUAUAAAUAAUUCUUAAACUCCCA